This 220-nucleotide unclassified non-coding RNA is filed under the name Hevea brasiliensis (rubber tree). Lineage: Eukaryota; Viridiplantae; Streptophyta; Magnoliopsida; Malpighiales; Euphorbiaceae. The record is from RNAcentral.
GGGGAUACGGUGGAACCAGGUACCAAGGUCGCUGUUAUUUCAAAAUCUGGUGAAGGUGUAACUCAUGUUGCUCCUUCUGAGAAGACAUCAGAGCAAGCUGCACCUCAAGCUGCUCCAGCUGAAAAAAACAGAAAAGCCUAAAGCUGAAACUACGGUCAGUGAGAAGCCUAAAGCACCAUCUCCACCACCUCCUCCUAAACGUUCAGCUACAGAACCCCAG